UAGUAAAAAUGGAUGCUGCUGUAAUAUCUGCACAGCAAGUACCUGUCCAGAUUUAUGCCCUUGACAUUUCUAAUCAUGCAUGGCCUGGCUGUGCAAAUCUGAAUUUGAUGUAGGGAUAUUUAAAAUGAGCAUUUAUUUCUGAGGCAUUUUCGUUCACAGCAGAUUCCGUUAGAUACAUAUAUUGCUUUGACUUCAUUUCCCCAUCCACUUCUUAUAUUGAAAAGAAAUAGAUUUGUCUGUUUAGAGUAGGAUCUUUAAUUGUAUUCACAACACAGGAAACCUAGGUCGAAGUUCAUGAUAUGACCUGGAAUCUGAGUCUAGUAACUGCCCCAGCCAGCUUAGUUUGGCAGAUACCAGGACUCAAGGCUGUACCAGUAUUCUUUAUGAAUUUAAUUAUUGAAAUGUGUUUAAAUUAACUUGUUUCCUACGUGAAGUUAGACCUUGAGAGGUAGUAACUGUUUAAGAGAUUGAGAGAUGGUAAUUAAGAAAACUUAGAAGGAAGGGAGAAGAAAUUGGUAUGUCUGUUUUUAGGCUCAGGGAGUUUGAUGUGAGAAUGUGUCUCCUAGUAGCUUUAGAAGCUACCCUCAUUAAAUCUCACCAACAUGACCACCCAAACCGGAGCAGAAUAAGGAUCAGACCCAUUAACAUGCCUAGCUGGAUAGAGGAAAGCAAGCCCAUGAGGCUGCAACUCUGCACAAAGACAUAGAAGCAACCCAGGAAUGCUCAGAAUGGGAGAGAUGCUCCUCUCAGGGAAGAGUACAGCAACUGGUCCAACUCCGAACCCUGACAACAUUCACAGAGGCGUAUUAUACAGACGGAAUACUUCUCUCUAGGAAUGUCUAUGUAUACACACAUAUGCAUGCGAUAACAGUAAGUGAAAAUCGAGUGAUCUGUUGAAAGUUGGGAGGGGCGUGGGAAGAAUUUGGAAUGAGAAAGGGGAAGGGAGAAAUGUAAUUAAACUAUAAUCUCAAAAAUAUUAAAGUCUACUUAAAUUAAAAGUCUAUUAAAAAUAAUGAAGUGCAUAGCUUAAAAAAUUGUUGGACUUUUGAGAAUUUACCUUCUUGCCUUCAUUUAUUUUAGUUUCCAUCAUUGCUUGUUCAACAUUGAGUCUGACUGAAACUUCCAUUGGGUAAAUCUAAGCAUAUUUGGUCUGUAAUAUUUGAAUUAAAAAUAGGCUUUUAAGAUUUUUAAACUUUUAAAGAUUAAACUCAUUUUAAUGAUUGAGAAUGUUGCUCAGUGGUGGAGUACUUGCCUGGCAUACACAUGGGCCUUGAUUUGAUCCCCAACACUUAUAAACAAAAACAUUAGUGGCUAUUCAAAUGGAAUGUUUCAAAGACUGAGGAAUUUACCCACAGAAUGUAAAACUUUAUAAAGUUACAUUUUUGAACACAGAAAAAAAAGUGCAACAGCAAGCCAUGAAAAUAUUUAUUGUGUGCAUGAGGUCCAAAUAGAGAAUUUUUUAAAAG
Molecule: long non-coding RNA, 1466 nt
Filed under: Mus musculus (house mouse)
Lineage: Eukaryota; Metazoa; Chordata; Mammalia; Rodentia; Muridae
Description: long non-coding RNA chr5:57929750-57931216
Source: RNAcentral